Molecule: long non-coding RNA, 387 nt
Filed under: Cricetulus griseus (Chinese hamster)
Lineage: Eukaryota; Metazoa; Chordata; Mammalia; Rodentia; Cricetidae
Description: lncRNA (ENSCGRG00015030816.1)
Source: RNAcentral
CCACAUUGAGGAUUCUCCAGUCACACUGAGAAGACGCAGCAGUUUGAGGCCUGGUGAAGAGCUCGUGCGUGGAUCAGCCCUUUCAACCCAAGCUAGAGAGUUCCCAUCAAGAUCUUGGAUGAUGACAGCUCAUUGGGAUUUUCUUUAACAAUGGAUGAAAGCUCACAGAGAACUUGGUAGCAACAUUUGCAUCAUCCCAGCAAUACUAACGUUCCUGUUGCAUAUGGAGAGCCUUCAUCCAGUAACUGAUGGAAGCAGAUGCAGAGACCCACAGAGAUCAAACAAUCCUGCUGAAGAGAGGAAGGAAGGAUUGUAGGAGCCAGAGUUGUCAAGGACAUCACAAGAAAACCCGCAGAAACAACUAACCUGCCUCAUAGGAGCUCACAG